GCUAGGCAUGGUGGUACACAGCCAUAAUCCCUGCUAAUAGGGAGGCAGAGGCUGGUGGAUUGCUUGAGCUCAGGAGGUCUGACCUGAUCAGUUGUCUCUACUAAGUCAAGCACUAAUACGCUGAGUUCCUGGGAACAGGGAGCCACCAGGUUGCCUAGAGAAGGGCGAACAGGUCCAGGUUAGAAAUAGAACAGGUCAAUGCUUCCAUGCUAAUCAGCAAUGAGAUCAGGCCAUGGAUGGUCACUGUACUUAGAGGGUGACAUAAGGAGACCUAGUCUCAA
RNAcentral lists this signal recognition particle RNA (281 nucleotides) under Vombatus ursinus (common wombat). RNAcentral describes it as "Metazoan signal recognition particle RNA (ENSVURG00010006493.1)". It matches the Rfam family "Metazoan signal recognition particle RNA". From Rfam's summary of the family: The signal recognition particle (SRP) is a universally conserved ribonucleoprotein. It is involved in the co-translational targeting of proteins to membranes. The eukaryotic SRP consists of a 300-nucleotide 7S RNA and six proteins: SRPs 72, 68, 54, 19, 14, and 9. The record is from Rfam by way of RNAcentral. Lineage: Eukaryota; Metazoa; Chordata; Mammalia; Diprotodontia; Vombatidae.